This is a long non-coding RNA of Cyprinodon tularosa, 547 nucleotides long. RefSeq lists it as uncharacterized. The transcript is spliced from 3 exons. NCBI's taxonomy places the organism in Eukaryota, Metazoa, Chordata, Actinopteri, Cyprinodontiformes, Cyprinodontidae. The record is from RefSeq and is a predicted model, not a curated record.
CGGAGAGACUUCAGUGGCGUGCCAAAGGGUUUUGAAGGGCGGGGUCAGAAAACAAAGCCCCCCCCUCACUGCUGGUCUUUGUCCUCCUCAUCUUGUUUCUUCUCCACAGAGAGUCUUUCCUACCAGAGCAGUUGGCUGAGCUUCCUGCGGAGGUUUGAUCUGUCUGAGAAAACCAGGAAAGUUCCUCCUCGUUUGUGUUCAAACAGCUCUGCACACCUGGGCGUCCUGGAUGCUCUCAGAGACCAGAGUCUUCUUGGUGAUUGUGUUAUUCUGGAUUUCUGCUCGUUUUGCCAUCAACUGAUCCUGGAUUGAUGGACUGGAUCACAGUCUGGGUUCUGGGUAAUGGCAGUGGUUUCUAUCCAUCAACCUGGUGAAGCUCCACAUCAGCCUGAUUCACUCCUUCAUCUCCACUGGGAACAGAUUCAACCGUCUGACUGAUGAUCUUGACCUUCCUGUCUCUUCUAUACUUGAUCCUGUUGCAUGAAGAAAUAAUAGAAAGACGUCCAGAAAAGAUGAAUGAGUUAUUAAUAUAGAUAAUAUGAGGUCA